This 66-nucleotide non-coding RNA is filed under the name Clostridium sartagoforme AAU1. Its description in RNAcentral is "RAGATH-18 RNA". It matches the Rfam family "RAGATH-18 RNA". From Rfam's summary of the family: Actinobacteria, Firmicutes, Fusobacteria, Thermotogae (1 example). Nearby to self-cleaving ribozyme genes The record is from Rfam by way of RNAcentral. Lineage: Bacteria; Bacillati; Bacillota; Clostridia; Eubacteriales; Clostridiaceae.
CCUUUUGAGAACUACACCAAACUAGAGUAGAUUUUUAAAUUAAAAUAGAGUUUGAUGAAAAAGGAA